UACGGGGGGGGCAAGCGUUGUUCGGAAUUACUGGGCGUAAAGGGCUCGUAGGUGGCCAACUAAGUCAGACGUGAAAUCCCUCGGCUUAACCGGGGAACUGCGUCUGAUACUGGAUGGCUUGAGUUUGGGAGAGGGAUGCGGAAUUCCAGGUGUAGCGGUGAAAUGCGUAGAUAUGCGGAGGAACACCGAUGGCGAAGGCAAUCCCCUGGGCCUGCACUGACGCUCAUGCACGAAAGCGUGGGGAGCAAACAGG
RNAcentral lists this ribosomal RNA (253 nucleotides) under uncultured bacterium. Its description in RNAcentral is "partial 16S ribosomal RNA". It matches the Rfam family "Bacterial small subunit ribosomal RNA", at positions 524 to 776 of the family's 1533-position model. The record is from RNAcentral.